RNAcentral lists this ribosomal RNA (2301 nucleotides) under Triticum aestivum (bread wheat). RNAcentral describes it as "partial small subunit ribosomal RNA". The record is from RNAcentral. Lineage: Eukaryota; Viridiplantae; Streptophyta; Magnoliopsida; Poales; Poaceae.
AUGUCUUCUCAUUCUUCCAUUUUGUCCUCUCUUCGCUCGCUGGAUUCUCCUGUUCAUGUCCUCACUGCUGAUGGUACUCCACUUUCUGUCGUUAGUAGAGGCACUCUUACCACUCCUUCUUACUCUGUUCCUGAUGUUGCUCAUGUUCCUCGACUCACCAUAAAUCUGUUUUCUGCUGGUCAACUUACUAAUUCUGGUUGUCGCGUCAUCCUUGACGUUGACUCUUGUUCUGUCCAGGACCGUCGCACGCACAUUCUGGUUGGGGCUGGCCCUCGCCGCCGUGAUUCUCAAGGUCUUUGGGAGUUGGACUGGCUUCAUGUUCCUUCUGCUGCCACCACUAUCGCUAGUUCCUCCGCUUCAGUCACCUCUGUUACUGGUUCCUUCAAGCAGUGGCAUCAUCGACUUGGUCAUCUGUGUGGUUCUCGGUUGUCGUCUUUAGUUCGUCGAGGCCUUCUGGGGUCUGUCUCAGGAGAUGUCUCUUUAGAGUGUCAGGGUUGUCGUCUUGACAAGCAGAUUCAGUUACCAUAUUCACAUAGUGAGUCAGUGUCUAAGCAUCCUUUUGAUUUAGUCCAUUCUGAUGUAUGGGGUCCGGCUCCUUUCUCUUCCAAAGGUGGUCAUAAAUACUAUAUUAUUUUCAUAGAUGACUUCUCUCGUUACACAUGGCUUUAUUUGAUGACUUCUCAUAGUGAGGUGUUGUCUAUUUAUAAGCGUUUUGCUGCCAUGGUUCAUACUCAGUUCUCUUCACCCAUUCGUGUUCUUCGUGCUGACUCUGCUGGCGAGUAUAUCUCUAAGAUGUUGCGUGGUGUUCUUGAUGAGGAAGGCACUCUCUCUCAAUUCUCUUGUCCUGGUGCUCAUUCUCAGAAUGGUGUGGCUGAGCGAAAGCAUCGUCAUCUUCUUGAGACGGCUCGUGCAUUGCUGAUUACUGCCUCUCUCCCGCCUCAUUUUUGGGCUGAGGCCGUCUCCACCUCCACCUAUCUUAUCAAUCUCCAGCCUUCCGCUGCUCUACAGGGUGGUGUUCCUUCCGAGCGUCUUUUUGAUCGUUCUCCCGAUUAUUCGAUGCUUCGCUUGUUUGGUUGUGUUUGCUAUGUUCUUCUUGCCCCUCGCGAACUGACCGCUCAGUCUGUUGAGUGUGUGUUUUUAGGCUACAGUGAUGAGUAUAAGGGCUAUCGUUGUUGGGAUCCUAUCGGUCGUCGCAUGCGUAUCUCUCGAGACGUGACUUUUGAUGAGUCUCGUCCCUUCUAUCCACGCCCAUCUUCCUCGACCUUUUCAGUGGAGGAUAUCUCUUUCCUCACUUUUCCUGACUCACCUAUCACCCCCGUCGAGCCUGUGCCUACUCGUUCCGCUCCCUCUGCUUCUCCACCUCUAGUCGAUUUGAUGCCACCAUCUUCCACGGUCUCCUCGUCUAGCAUGUCACCGGAUUCUACACCUUCAUCUCCGGUGACUUCUUUGUCGCCACCCCUCGAUUAUACCUUGGCGAUUCCUCCUUCUAUUGUUCCAUCUUUUCCUCAGUAUUACACUCGUCGUUCACUUCCUGUGGAUGCCUCCGUGGGUGUGUCGUCAUCUUCCUCUCAGCCUACUUAUGGCUUGCGUUCUCGUCCUCAUCCGCCUGUUGAUCGUUUUGGAUUUCCCACCGCUGGUGCUGCUGUUCUUGAGCCGACUUCUUAUCGUCAGGCUGUUGUUCAUCCUGAAUGGCAGUUUGCGAUGGCAGAGGAGAUUGCUGCUCUUGAACGCACUGGUACCUGGGAUCUUGUUUCCCUUCCUCCCGGAGUCCGUCCCAUCACUUGUAAGUGGGUCUACAAGGUUAAGACUCGCUCCAAUGGUUCUCUUGAGCGUCACAAAGCUCGUCUUGUGGCUCGUGAUUUUCAGCAGGAGCAUGGUCGUGAUUAUGACGAGACUUUUGCUCCUGUGGCACAUAUGACCACUGUUCGUACACUUCUUGCCGUUGCCUCUGCACGCCACUGGUCUAUAUCUCAGCUUGAUGUUAGGAAUGCUUUUCUUAAUGGUGAGCUGCGUGACGAGGUGUACAUGCAGCCACCACCUGGGUAUUCUGUUCCUGAUGGCAUGGUCUGUCGUCUUCGUCGCUCUCUCUAUGGCCUUAAGCAAGCCCCCCGUGCCUGGUUUGAGCGUUUUGCCUCUGUGGUCACUGCUGCUGGUUUUUCAGCAAGUGCACAUGAUCCAGCAUUGUUUAUUCACCUUUCUCCUCGUGGUCGGACUCUUCUUCUUCUCUAUAUUGAUGACAUGGUCAUCACUGGGGAUGACCCCGAGUAUAUUGCCUUUGUAAAGGCCCGUCUUAGUGAGUAG